CGAACGCUGGCGGCAGGCCUAACACAUGCAAGUCGAGCGCGCCUUUCGGGGUGAGCGGCGGACGGGUUAGUAACGCGUGGGAAUAUACCCUUUGGUACGGAAUAGCCUCUGGAAACGGAGAGUAAUACCGUAUGAGCCCUUCGGGGGAAAGAUUUAUCGCCAAAGGAUUAGCCCGCGUUAGAUUAGGUAGUUGGUGGGGUAAUGGCCUACCAAGCCUACGAUCUAUAGCUGGUUUUAGAGGAUGAUCAGCAACACUGGGACUGAGACACGGCCCAGACUCCUACGGGAGGCAGCAGUGGGGAAUCUUGGACAAUGGGGGCAACCCUGAUCCAGCCAUGCCGCGUGAGUGAAGAAGGCCCUAGGGUCGUAAAGCUCUUUCGCCUGUGAAGAUAAUGACGGUAGCAGGUAAAGAAACCCCGGCUAACUCC
This 428-nucleotide ribosomal RNA is filed under the name uncultured bacterium. Its description in RNAcentral is "bacterial SSU rRNA". It matches the Rfam family "Bacterial small subunit ribosomal RNA", at positions 30 to 504 of the family's 1533-position model. The record is from RNAcentral.